CUGGAAACCCAAGUAAAAUAUCUCUGAUUUAAAAUGAGAUUGAAGCUCCUUUUUGGCCUAAGACAUCUUGCAAGCUUUAUAUUUUUGCUGGAUUUCACCAGGACAGAAUAUUUAUUCUGGCCCCAGGUAAAACCUAAUCCAGUUAUCCCAGUGCCAGAGUGUGUGUGGACAGCAGCAGCACAGCUUCAGAAAAUUCAUCUUCAUAUGGUUUCCCAAACUGAUAUACAGCAAACUGAUGUACAAGAUGCCAUUUGGCUUCACUUCACUGC
Molecule: long non-coding RNA, 269 nt
Filed under: Calidris pugnax (ruff)
Lineage: Eukaryota; Metazoa; Chordata; Aves; Charadriiformes; Scolopacidae
Description: lncRNA (ENSCPUG00000012314.1)
Source: RNAcentral